RNAcentral lists this transfer RNA (53 nucleotides) under Dictyocaulus viviparus (bovine lungworm). RNAcentral describes it as "tRNA-Thr". The record is from RNAcentral. Lineage: Eukaryota; Metazoa; Nematoda; Chromadorea; Rhabditida; Metastrongylidae.
GCUAUUAAAGUUUAUAGGAAUUUUUAAUUUGUAAUUAAAGGGUUUAGGUAGCU